Molecule: long non-coding RNA, 1501 nt
Filed under: Marmota monax (woodchuck)
Lineage: Eukaryota; Metazoa; Chordata; Mammalia; Rodentia; Sciuridae
Source: RNAcentral
AGAUGAACAUCUAGACUCAGAACCUAGGUCUGGAUAUGUCAAAGGAGCAGGCAUUGACAAGUACUCUACUAAACAAAAACUGAGUAGGAAGCACUGUCAUUGCAAAGAGAAGGACCCAAUGGCCAACUGGAUACUUGAAUCAGAAGGCAGCUGUGGUCCAAAGCAAGGCGGCAAGUGGGUUCAGUGCCAGUACCAACUGAGAUCAACAGCGCAUGGCUGCCAGGAGCACAGUCCUGUGAAAAGGAUUCUGAGGCUGGUGCAGGAAGACAGUGAUUGAUUGGCAGUGUGGACCUGGAUGCACAAAUGGAAUGACACAGGAUAAUUAUAUGGGAGGAUAUUAUAUUAAAGACUUCCCAUCUGGUUUUAAAAAGAAAUUAAAUUGUAAGAAACUAUGGUUAGCAGGUAAGUAUCUAUUCCCCAUGGAACCAUAGGAGCAUUCAGAGUAAGAUCUCAACAGAAAGCCCAGGCUUUGUGAUAUUAUUUGCUAACUUGUCUACAUAAUGUUAAUACUUAUGAGGAAGGAUAAAUUUAAUUAUCAUCUGGUUUAUAAAGCAUAUCAUGGUUAAUAAAACUACUUUAGUGUAAUCCUGUAUCUGGAUCAAGGUCAUCAACAAUUAGCUAAUUACCAGCUUGUCAAUAUACUGACACUUAAUCUAAUGGGUUUAUUUAUUUAACUGCUGUCUACUGUCUCUGUUAUAGGCUUUUAGCUCUGACUUUUUUUCCCCAGGGGCACUUAACCACUGAACCACAUCCGCAGCCCUUUUUAUUUUUUAUUUUUAAACAGGGUCUCACUAAGUUGCUGAGGCUGGCUUAGAACUAGCAAUCCUCCUGCCUCAGCCUCCCAAGUUGUUGGGAUUACAGGUGUGCACCAUCACAGGCAGCUCUGAUGUUGCACCAUCACAGGCACCAGGUGUGCACCAUCACAGGCAGCACUGAUCACUCUGAUUACGCCCCCAUGGGAGACGUCUAAAGCAGGAGUUUUUAAUAUUUUAUAUAAUAGCCACUGAUAGAAACUGAAAGUGUGAUAGUGUUUGCUUUUCUGUCUUUGUUCCCAAGGCUUGUUGUGGAUUGGUUUUAAUAUUCUUUUAAAGUGCCUAGUUUUGAGAAAUUAAAUAAGCAAAUUCUUAGGCUGAGAAUAUGUGAAAAAGAAGCACCAUCUACCAAUAUCCUGACCUUUAAAAAUAUUUAGACAGGGGAGGACACAAACAAACCAUUCUCAGAUCAUCUUUCUCUUGCAAGGCAAUAGACUAUACAAAACUGUGUUUAACUUUUCUAUUUUUAUGGAACUAUUUGUCAUAUAUAAGUUUUAAAUUUUAUAAUAUUUUAAAUGAUGCAUAGUUAUUAUAUCCUUUUUUUUCUGUGCAGUGCUAAGAGUCAAACCCAGGGCCUAGAUCAUGCUAAGCCAGCACACUGCCAUUGAACUACAUCCCCAGCCCUAUUAUUUCCUAUUUCAUGUAACUAUUCAGUAUGUGGUUUUAAAAAUCACUGUAAUACAUUAUGC